This 704-nucleotide long non-coding RNA is filed under the name Trifolium pratense (red clover). RNAcentral describes it as "long non-coding RNA (TPRA_LNC009151)". Lineage: Eukaryota; Viridiplantae; Streptophyta; Magnoliopsida; Fabales; Fabaceae. The record is from RNAcentral.
UGACGUCGUCGACGAAGGUGCGAGCGAUCUCCUUGCGUGACAACAGCUUCUUGCUCUGCGUGAGAAAAUAAAGAAGGAAAAGGAAAACAAUGUUGAGUUAAAAUUCAGGAAAAAAAACCACAAGUCAAUCUAGUCAAACAUUUUCACAUUUGAACAAAAGAAAACAAAGAUGAAAAAAACCACCAAUACCUUGUAUUAGUUAGGCCUUUACUUAGCAUAGCUAGAAACAAUGGACCACAUUGCAGAAAGCUAACCAAAUAGUUGCCAAAGAAGCAUAGUUUAACACCAUCUCCAAUUCCCUAACAUCAUUAAUAUUUAGUAAUAGAUUAAUUCUAAUCAUCAUAUCAUAGAGACUAAAACAUGCUAAAUCAAAAAUUAGUGAUUCUGCAAAAAUUAAAUUUAUCGCAAAUUAUCAUUAUCAUUUAAGAAUUCACAGUCACUAAACCACAUGAUUGUUAAAACCUGAGUUCAUGACACACUUAGUCCAAGCACAAAUUUUGUGCAAAAUCUCCAUAGGCACUCAUGUACCUGGUCUGAGUUUUUAUGCUAAGAAAAGCAAAUUAUUUUCCUCUUUCAGCAAUUAUGAUAGAUUGUUGGAUACAUCAUGCAUGCAUCAAGCCUUAAUACAAGUUAACUUUAUUAACUAUCGGGCCAGAUUCAAGUAAAAUAAUACCAAGAUCAAAUCAAUAUUCAAUAUACAAAUC